RNAcentral lists this transfer RNA (60 nucleotides) under Falcolipeurus marginalis. RNAcentral describes it as "tRNA-Asp". Lineage: Eukaryota; Metazoa; Arthropoda; Insecta; Psocodea; Philopteridae. The record is from RNAcentral.
AGUUAGUUUAUCAAAAACAUUCAAUUGUCAAUUGGGAAAAGAUUUGUCGGUCACUUUUAA